This 455-nucleotide ribosomal RNA is filed under the name uncultured bacterium. RNAcentral describes it as "bacterial SSU rRNA". It matches the Rfam family "Bacterial small subunit ribosomal RNA", at positions 337 to 794 of the family's 1533-position model. The record is from RNAcentral.
UCCUACGGGGGGCAGCAGUAAGGAAUAUUGCGCAAUGGACGAAAGUCUGACGCAGCGACGCCGCGUGGGGGAUGAAGGUCUUCGGAUUGUAAACCCCUUUCGGGAGGGAAGAUGGAGUGGGUAACCACUUGGACGGUACCUCCAGAAGCAGCCACGGCUAACUUCGUGCCAGCAGCCGCGGUAAUACGAAGGUGGCAAGCGUUGUUCGGAUUCACUGGGCGUACAGGGAGCGUAGGCGGUUGGGUAAGCCCUCCGUGAAAUCUCCGGGCCUAACCCGGAAAGUGCAGAGGGGACUGCUCAGCUAGAGGAUGGGAGAGGAGCGCGGAAUUCCCGGUGUAGCGGUGAAAUGCGUAGAGAUCGGGAGGAAGGCCGGUGGCGAAGGCGGCGCUCUGGAACAUUUCUGACGCUGAGGCUCGAAAGCGUGGGGAGCAAACAGGAUUAGAUACCCUGGUAGC